This 253-nucleotide ribosomal RNA is filed under the name uncultured bacterium. RNAcentral describes it as "partial 16S ribosomal RNA". It matches the Rfam family "Bacterial small subunit ribosomal RNA", at positions 524 to 776 of the family's 1533-position model. The record is from RNAcentral.
UACGGAGGGUGCAAGCGUUAUUCGGAAUUACUGGGCGUAAAGCGCACGCAGGUGGCUGAGUAAGUCGAUUGUGAAAGCCCUGGGCUUAACCUGGGAAUUGCAGUCGAUACUACUCGGCUCGAGUAUGGGAGAGGGCAGUGGAAUUCCCGGUGUAGCGGUGAAAUGCGUAGAUAUCGGGAGGAACAUCAGUGGCGAAGGCGGCUGCCUGGCCCAAUACUGACACUCAGGUGCGACAGCGUGGGGAGCAAACAGG